UUGGUGGUCUGUGUUUCAGGGCAGAUUGUUUUGUAAAAAGGUCCUUCAGCAUUUAGAAUCAUAAAAUCAUAGGAACAAUUACUUGAGCUGGAAGCAGUGACAUGGAGGCCUCUUUUCUCAUUUAUAGAUGAUAAAACUGCAGCCUGAAAGCUUAAGGGAAAGUUCAGAAUAUCUAGGUCAAUUUUUUUAGAUGCCAGAUUUCUUGAAUCUCAACCCAUGCCUUUAGCGUUAUCACUUGAUGGACCAUAAGGAAGAACUAUGUAAUGCCGAAUUUUGAAUUUAAUGAGUAAGGUGUUAGGGUAAUGCUAUCAGGUAUUAUCAGGACAAAUCUUUCUGUCAUGGAAAAUAACUUUGCACAGAACAAUAUCUUCUGAGCUGGUGUUAUCAUAGUUGGAAAUCUGAACAGCUUAAGCCGAACCAGUACUGCUCUCCCUGCUGAUUCCUACCAGAUCGGGGCCAUUGC
Molecule: small RNA, 463 nt
Filed under: Pan troglodytes (chimpanzee)
Lineage: Eukaryota; Metazoa; Chordata; Mammalia; Primates; Hominidae
Description: retained intron
Source: RNAcentral